This 253-nucleotide ribosomal RNA is filed under the name uncultured bacterium. Its description in RNAcentral is "partial 16S ribosomal RNA". It matches the Rfam family "Bacterial small subunit ribosomal RNA", at positions 524 to 776 of the family's 1533-position model. The record is from RNAcentral.
UACGUAUGUCCCGAGCGUUAUCCGGAUUUAUUGGGCGUAAAGCGAGCGCAGACGGUUCAUUAAGUCUGAAGUGAAAGCCCACAGCUCAACUGUGGAAUGGCUUUGGAAACUGAUGGACUUGAGUGCAGUAGAGGCAAGUGGAACUCCAUGUGUAGCGGUGGAAUGCGUAGAUAUAUGGAAGAACACCAGUGGCGAAGGCGGCUUGCUGGACUGUAACUGACGUUGAGGCUCGAAAGUGUGGGUAGCAAACAGG